GAUUCACAUCGUCAAAAAAUUUUGGUCUGUGAAGUUCGUGCGGAUGAAAUUCGAUUUCAAAGCCAGCGAAAUAUGCAAAAUAAAGUGAAAUACCAGUGCCUCGCGGACGAGGAGCGCUUCAGCGGAGCGUCCCGCAGCCUGUAGAGCCAAAAGAGCGGCCCCAAAUCUGGUAAUUUCGCGGCGAAAAGCAAGCAGGAGAAGAAGAAGCAGCAGCAGCAGCAGUAGUACAAACAGCAAAAGUGUAGUUGUGAUCGAAAAUCGAAAGUGUGAAGCAUUUUCUAUAAAUAGUGCAAAAUCAAAACCAAAUUCCCAGUGCAAACAAAAGCGCAAUAAAAAACAAUAACAAAAACCGGGGAUAAAGCGAACAAUAUAACAACGAUAAAUAUACAUAUAACUGGAGCGGUCGAUCGAUCUCACAGAGCGCGCGCUCUGCACAAAGAAAGCAGGAUUAUCUGAAGGAUCGCCUUAGUAGAGGAUCUCCAAGAUGUCCUCGCUGGACGCGCGCAACAACUCGGCGAUGAUGAAGCGGGCGGAGCAGCUGAAGCGCUGGGAGGAGUCAGACACCAACCGCGCCGCCCCCACCCCCCGCCACGAGCACGGGCGCCGGAUCAAGUUCAGCUCCGGCUGCGUCUUCCUCGCCGCCUGCCUCUCCGGAGACAAGGACGAGGUCAUCCAGCUCCUCGACCAGGGCGCCGACAUCAACACAGCCAACGUCGACGGCCUGACCGCCCUGCAUCAGGCGUGCAUAGAUGACAAUCUGGACAUGGUGGAAUUUCUGGUGGAGCGAGGUGCCGACAUAAACCGACAGGAUAAUGAGGGCUGGACGCCCUUGCAUGCCACUGCCUCCUGCGGCUUUGUGAGCAUAGCUCGGUACUUGGUAGAAAAUGGCGCUGAUGUGGCCGCUGUGAACAGCGAUGGCGAUCUGGCCUUGGACCUGGCCAUCGAUGUGCAACACAUGGCCAUGAUCGACUACAUGGAGAAGAUGGUGCAGGAGCUGAACAUAAAUGUGGAUGAGGCUCGAAAGGCUGAGGAGCAGGCGAUGCUGAACGAUGCCAAAAAGUGGCUGAGAAGCGAUGCCGCCGAGGUGGACAGACCGCAUCCAAAAACGGGAGCCACAGCGCUCCACGUGGCCGCCGCUAAGGGUUACACGAAAGUUCUGGGCCUGCUCCUGGCCGGUCGUGGCAAUGUGGAUCGCCAGGACAACGAUGGCUGGACGCCUCUGCACGCGGCAUCGCAUUGGGGUCAACGGGAAACGGCCGAGAUGCUCGUGGAGUCACUGGCCGACAUGGAUAUACGCAACUAUGCUGGGCAGUCAUGCAUCGAUGUGGCCGAUCGCAAAAUAGUCAAAUUCCUGGAAGAACUGCGGGCCAACAAACGCAACAAACGGCGACCAUCUAGUCAAAUCAGCAGAAUCUCAGAUACGAUUGAAAAUCAUGUGGACAAGACGCCCACCAAACUGGUGCGCGUUGAAGUGAGAACUGAUGCCACAAAGGAUGCUGAGAACGUCAAGCCCAAUCAGCAGAUCCAUGCCACCGAACAUGCAGUCGAGGAGGAGGCGCCCUGGCGACGCAAGCUGCCACGGACACCAAACGACAGUCCCACUAAUAAUCAAGUUCCUGAUAGAGAGCUUAGCAGCAAUAGCUCGGAGACCGCCAACGACGUCAUUUUGCGACGCACGCAAAGCUUUGAGAACGAUCAAAAAUUCUAUCAAAAGUACAAUGAGCUGCGGGCACGCAUAAAGGCCAACUCCUGUCCCAUUCUGCCGGCGAAUGCGAACGCUAAUGCCGCUGCUGCCAAUAAUUCCAAUAACAACAAUAAUCUUAGUAGCAAUAACAAUCAUAAUAACAACAAUAACAACAACAAAAGCGAUCUGCUGUUGGGAUAUGCUGCUGGCACAACAACAACAAGCACCUCCACGACAACUUCAACAACAAUCAGUACAUUCAACAACACCCACUCGAACACCAACAACACAAGCACACCACAACAACAACCAGCAGCAGCAGCUUCGGCAACAAAUCAAUUAUAUAGCGUACAAAGAUCGGCCUCACUCAAAGAUAACUCAAUGUAUUACAGGAAACCGAACGUUACGAUUGCCACGCCAACAAGUGCUGCAGCCACGGCAAACACGGCGCUCAAUUCUCCAUCGACUGUACAGACCCCACCAAUUCGCAGCCAAGUUACAGCGAAAUCAGCAGAAAAGAGCAAUAAUGGCAGCUCGUCCACGGCCAGUGUCAGCGAUGUGGAGAGCUCCAAGCCACCGCCCAAACAAUCCGCGAGCAAUAUGAUCAAAAACUUCUUCAAAUCGUUUGUGCCACCGGUGCGCGAUGAGGAGAGUGAAACGCAGCGAAAGGCACAUGCCAAGCGCGUGAGGGAGACUCGCCGGUCAACCCAGGGCGUUACUCUGGACGAGAUCAAGAGUGCCGAGGAGCUGGUCAAGAAGAAGAACAUGGGCAUGGCCAACAACAACAACAAUAACAAUAUCAGCACCACCACUACGAACACCAUCAGCAACAGCGGCAACGAAACAAGCUCAGCAUCAUCGACAUCGACAUCAGCUCCAACAUCAUCGAUCCUCGACAGCAAUGAGCAGCGGGACGAGUCGCAACCGCCACCACCGCCCACCACACCACCGCCAGCCAUAAUACCCACCACAACGACGGCCACCGAUGAGACGGAGAUCGAGGAGGUGGUAACCAAUCCUCCUUCAGCUGUCCAAAGUCUGAACGAUACCACUGCUAGUUUUACCCUAUCCGCUCCGGUGCGAAGAUCGCUUUCGGGCGAUGCCGAUGCCAAUAGUGAUCCCGAGGGGGAUCAGGAUCAGUCGGUGGUCAGUGCCAGCUAUACGAUAAUGCCCAGGCGGGAAAGGCUUCCCGAAAGCACAGAGAAUGCAGAGAGUAUCAGAUCUCCGCAAAAGACUGACCCAGUUGCCAAAAGUUCCAGCGAGGAGAAGGCCGAGGAGCCACCACUUGUUAGACCCACGGAUCUGCCACUGAUCCCAGCUCCUGCAGUGGCCAGCACAGAAGCUAUCAAAUCAUCCUCGGCAGCCACCACGCCCGCUGCCCUCGAGAGUCCAGUGCGUUUGCGGGACAAGCGGGGUUUGGCCGGCAGUCAGGACUCGGAAACAAAGUCCGAUACCGCUUCGCCCGUGACCUCUCAUCCGGAUUUCAAUGCCCGGGACUCACUACUUAGUCUGUACGCCCGACGCACAACGGAAAGCGGCGCGGGAGGAGGUGCUGGUGGUGGUGCAGGUGGAGCGAGUGGAGCUGCCUCUUCGUCUUCCACAUCUGCAGCAGAACGGCGUCCGUCUUGGCGCCUGAAAUUCGAUGCCGGCUCCAAGUUUAAACUGGAGGACAUAACCAGCGGGGGCACAUAUCCGCCGAACAACAGCACUAUUAUCCCGAGUGCUCCGGCGGUGAUGGCAGCCGUCAAUUUAUCAACUACAACUGGAGUCCAGCGGCGCAUCAGCAGCGGUCCCAACGCACUAAAUGCUUCCAAUCAGUCGCUCAACUCUGUGGGUCGUCCUGUUUCCGCGCCCAGCGAGGGCACCAACAACAGUGCCUAUGUCACGCCCUCAGCUCGAAAAUACGAGGCGAAUGCCACGUCAACGGCGGCGAACUCAACAGCGGCCGCGACCACUAACUCAACCUCCAAUUCAGUGUCUGCAACCAGUGCCAAUCAUGCAGCGGCUACGGCAACUAGCGCUACGUCAAACCAUGACGAUAAGGAUAACGACAAGGAGAACGAUAAUCGCACACAGACCGUCAUUCAGAGGCGACGCAAGCCGAAGCGCAGAUCAACAGGCGUGGUGCACAUCGAUAUGGAUGAACUGGAUCCCGAGCGACAGAACGAAUCGUCCAACAACGACAACGAGGAGAAAGAAAAGGAGAGUGGCAGUGAGCGGACUUCCCGUUCCCGACUGGGCAGCACCGCGAGUACGGCCACCACGAGCGAGUCGAAGAGCUCCAGCAGUAACGACAAGGCGGAGAAUGGUGAUGGCAUUGACUACAAGGCGCUCUACGAAGCUGCCAAAUUGGAGAACGAUAAGCUGAAGCAGAUAAUCAAGCAGAAGGACGACGAAGCCGUGCAGACACGUGCAACGCUCGAGAGAUUCGCCAAUGCCACAACGAAAAAUUCACUAUCUGAACUUGAGAAACGCGAAAGAAGAGCUAUGGAACGCAAGCUUUCCGAGUUGGAAGAAGAGCUCAAGCUAUUGCAGAAGCUAAAGACUGAGAACGAUCGUCUGCGAGCCGAGAAUCGGGCCCUCACGCGGGUCGUCUCCAAGCUGACCACCUCGGCUCAGAGUCAGCUGGCCAAGACCAAAUAGACGCAGAUCAAAAGCAUUUAGAUUGCCCAGCACCAGCCCACAUACACCCGAAAUUCUCACGCCCCUUGCUCACAAGCACUAUGUCGCGAUUAUCGUUAUAUCGUUUCUAUUAGAACUGGAAAAAGAUCGAUGUUCUUAUAGGUAAACAUCGAUAAUCAAUAACACCGAUGUUUUUCUUGCUCUAGUUUCUUUAAUUCAAUUUUUAACACACCUCGAUGUCGUUAUGAAUUAUAUAUGGAUAUUUAAGCAUAACCGAAUACACAAUAACUAAAUGUAUUGUACCUAAAUUAAGUUAUCAUUGAGCUCAUUGGCUUCGGACUGGUCACUGGUAAAACGUAAACCUUAAACAUAACUAUAUACUACAUCUCCUUGGGAGUUACUAUAUACUACAAAACCCUUUGAUAAAACCGCAAACUUCAAAAGUAGUUAAUUUUUAAAUAGUAAAAUAUUAAUCUCACGUUUUUGAUAACCUAAAUAUGCGCUAGGAAAAAAAAUGUUUGCGAAUUUAUAAUGUAAUUAUAACCCACAGACCACUGUACGGUUGAUAAGUACUUUAAAAUCAAAAGCUAGCCUACGCUCGAAUCAAAGUAAAGCUCAUCGAAACCAACGAGAUCAAUCAUCAAGCCCCCACCACCAAAAAAAAAAACAGCAUCAGCAAAUAGCGGCCCAAGGAUCUGGAGGCUACUUGUAGGGUCUCCAGAAGUCGAACAUCAGGGAGAGCAAAGUGGUCUAGUUGGUGAUGCUGGAAGCUUAACGCAACUCGAUACCUACAAGUCGGAUAAUCAUCGCCUGAAGGAGGAGAACGCCGCGUUGAUUAGAGUAAUUAGCAAAUUAAGUAAAUGAAAUUAUGUUUUACUUUCAGUGUAUGUAUGUCUGAGAACCUAUAUCAUCGAGAAGCAACAAUUUUACUUUAUUUACCAGCUGCAAAAAGGCUGAAAAAAGAAGAGAAUGUUAAAGCGAAAAGCGAUGUAAGCGAAAGCGGGAUAUUCGCGUGGAAAUUUCAAAAUUUGUUUAUUAUUUGUGUUAGGCCCCUAAGAAUUAGGUGAAACCAUGUUUCAAAUAUCGUUGAGAAUUGUUUCGUUCGUUUUUAUAUGAAAAAAAAAAAUAAUAAAAUCUUAUGUAUUUGGUCAAAUUUUAUAUACAAAAUAGAGCAAAUUAUAAAUAAACUUACACAAAUCAAGCUUAACUAUAUUUACAUAAACAUACGCGAUGUGUAUAACGAUCAGAAGAUCGCAAGAAAUGAAAUGAGAAACAAAAACCUUUACAUACAAACUGAGAACAUAUUCAUCAAAUGAGCCCUAGUUAUAUACAAUAGUUAUACACAUUACAUAAUAUAUAUUUAAAUCAACCGAAUCAUAAGUUCAACAUUUCAAUGUGUAAUAUCAUCGAGGAUCCAGACCGCCAGUUGAGAGAGUCCGGAGAUGUGUCGAAACCAGCCCACGCGUCAACUUACUAAGUGUAAUCGUUAUCAUCCAAUUGUAAUUGUGUUUAGUGCUUCAUAUAUAUAGGCAUCGGUGAAGCCAUCAAAAGCUAUAGUAUGUGUACCAUAAAACUGAGGAGACUUUGUUGCAGGGGCUCCAUGGCGCUAUCCUAUAGAUAGGAUGGGUUUCACUACAGAUGCACUAUUAUUUCUAUUAUUUGAGUACCUUAAUUUAAGCAGGCACUUUUAGUUCUCUCCUUCACUUCGAAACGUAUUAUAUACAUUUACAUCGUACUAUAUUUUACUUUCGCUUAUAACGAAACAAAUGAUCAUACGCAUAUUUCUGUUAUUUAUUAAAUUCGCUUAAGAGAUUUUGUGUUACUCUACUCGUAAAUGAAAACGAUAAUCAAGCAUAAACAAACAUAAAAACGUGAAUUGUGUAAUAUGUAAAAUUGUGUGAGAAAAUAUUUAAGAAAAUUUGAUUCAAAUACGAAACUUAAUAAAUGUGAUCGCAAGCAAA
Molecule: non-coding RNA, 6267 nt
Organism: Drosophila suzukii
Lineage: Eukaryota; Metazoa; Arthropoda; Insecta; Diptera; Drosophilidae
Source: RefSeq, a predicted model, not a curated record